This 497-nucleotide ribosomal RNA is filed under the name uncultured bacterium. Its description in RNAcentral is "partial 16S ribosomal RNA". It matches the Rfam family "Bacterial small subunit ribosomal RNA", at positions 28 to 507 of the family's 1533-position model. The record is from RNAcentral.
GAUGAACGCUGGCGGCGUGCCUAAUACAUGCAAGUCGAGCGAACAGACGCGGAGCUUGCUCCUCUGACGUUAGCGGCGGACGGGUGAGUAACACGUGGAUAACCUACCUAUAAGACUGGGAUAACUUCGGGAAACCGGAGCUAAUACCGGAUAAUAUCUUGAACCGCAUGGUUCAAUAGUGAAAGACGGUUUUGCUGUCACUUAUAGAUGGAUCCGCGCCGCAUUAGCUAGUUGGUAAGGUAAAGGCUUACCAAGGCUACGAUGCGUAGCCGACCUGAGAGGGUGAUCGGCCACACUGGAACUGAGACACGGUCCAGACUCCUACGGGAGGCAGCAGUAGGGAAUCUUCCGCAAUGGGCGAAAGCCUGACGGAGCAACGCCGCGUGAGUGAUGAAGGUCUUCGGAUCGUAAAACUCUGUUAUUAGGGAAGAACAAAUGUGUAAGUAACUAUGCACGUCUUGACGGUACCUAAUCAGAAAGCCACGGCUAACUACGUG